This 253-nucleotide ribosomal RNA is filed under the name uncultured bacterium. RNAcentral's name for it is "partial 16S ribosomal RNA". It matches the Rfam family "Bacterial small subunit ribosomal RNA", at positions 524 to 776 of the family's 1533-position model. The record is from RNAcentral.
UACGUAGGGUGCGAGCGUUGUCCGGAAUUAUUGGGCGUAAAGGGCUCGUAGGCGGUUUGUCGCGUCGGGAGUGAAAACACCGGGCUUAACUCGGUGCUUGCUUUCGAUACGGGCAGACUAGAGGCAUGCAGGGGAGAACGGAAUUCCUGGUGUAGCGGUGAAAUGCGCAGAUAUCAGGAGGAACACCGGUGGCGAAGGCGGUUCUCUGGGCAUGUCCUGACGCUGAGGCGCGAAAGCUAGGGGAGCGAACGGG